Molecule: ribosomal RNA, 520 nt
Filed under: uncultured Acaulospora
Lineage: Eukaryota; Fungi; Glomeromycota; Glomeromycetes; Diversisporales; Acaulosporaceae
Description: SSU rRNA
Rfam family: Eukaryotic small subunit ribosomal RNA
Source: RNAcentral
AGCAGCCGCGGUAAUUCCAGCUCCAAUAGCGUAUAUUAAAGUUGUUGCAGUUAAAAAGCUCGUAGUUGAAUUUCGGGGUUUAUCCGUUGGUCGGGCUUUUGGGUCUGUACUGGCGUGAUGGAUUCCUACCUUCUGAACAACCAGCAUGUCAUUAAUUUGGUGCGUUGGGGAAGCAGGACUGUUACCUUGAAAAAUUAGAGUGCUUAAAGCAGGCUAUUGCCUGAAUACAUUAGCAUGGAAUAAUGAAAUAGGACGCAUGGUUCUAUUUUGUUGGUUUCUAGGAUCACCGUAAUGAUUAAUAGGGAUAGUUGGGGGCAUUAGUAUUCAAUUGUCAGAGGUGAAAUUCUUGGAUUUAUUGAAGACUAACUUCUGCGAAAGCAUUUGCCAAGGAUGUUUUCAUUAAUCAAGAACGAAAGUUAGGGGAUCGAAGACGAUCAGAUACCGUCGUAGUCUUAACCAUAAACUAUGCCGACUAGGGAUCGGACGAUGUUAAUUUUUAAUGACUCGUUCGGCGCCUUAC